UAUCACCAACGGUUGGUUAUUAUAACAAACAGCUUGCCGUCGUCGUCGUCGUCUCUCUCUCUCUCUCUCUCUUUUUCUUGGAUUGGCGCCGGAUUUCUUCCGACGAUGGCAAGGUGCCUCGUGGAUCCUCCACGCGCGAUGGCUUCCCCUCCAAUCUCUCCUUUCUCUUUUACACCCGCGCUUCAGCUAUUUCUUGGAAGCAUCGGUGGAUGAGAUGAUUAAGUUCUUGGCCAACGAGAUGAUUAAGUUCGUCCAGCAGCACGCCGAAGCCUCCAUCGCCUAUCUCCUCAGCCUCAAAACAGAUUUAUGAAGUAACCUGCAUACAGAAGGCAUAGAGGAUUCUUCUGUUCGAUGAGGUCAACGACUGAACACCGGAUUCCUGUUGCUGAGGAGAUGAAGGACUUCAGCUAAAUUUCUACUAAUCAGCAUCUGGAUAAUGUUAAUGAUGCAGGAUGUUUCGAUCAGGAUGAGACAAUUAAAGCAGGAAAAAUCAUGUUGGGCCGGAGGAACAUGUCAGAAGAUUGGACGUCGGGCCGGUGGAUCAGUCGAUGUAUCGACAGAAGGCUUCGGGCCGUGGACUCGGGCAUCGGGCCAAGAAGAGCGGGUAUUGUGCCAAGGAUAUCAGAGUUGCGGAGUCAACUGGCCGAUUGAGCAAUAGGCCGCAGAAGAGGACGAUGCGCCGAAUAAUCAGACGAAGCGUCGAGGGACCAAUGACAUGCCGGACAACUUGGUUAAUUGUUUAGGAUUAAUUGUCUCGAUUGAAGUUUUGUUUUACAUGUGCAGGAUUAACUACGAUGGAAGUAAGACAUGUAGUAGGAGUUGCGUCGGAGUCAAGACUAUGAUCACGUUGGAGGUUCGAGAGUUCGACGGAAGUCCGGACGGUCGUCGGAGGUUCUGCGGGAACAAAUCCGAGAAGUCCAGGAGCUUGCCAAAGAAGCUUAUCGGAACUCGCCAAGUGGAUUGUCGCAAGUCCAGGAGUUUGCCGGAAGUCCGUCGGAGCAUCGUCGAAGGUUUGUCAGAUGUUCGUCGGAAGAAGCGAUUGAUGCACCGGAGCAAGUUGCAGUAAAUGUCUUAAGAAAUAUCGUAGUUAGCAUGUAGAUUAAGUUAGGAAUAGGAGGUGAUUCCAUUAACUUAAUCUGUGGGCAAUUGGGCCAUUGAUAGAUCCAAAUUGGGCCGAAUGGAUUAACCCAUUUGGACCAGAAUUCCGCGGUGGCACUGCCAGGGUCGACGGUGGCAUCGUCCAGGAGAUGGUCUCCCAGGAAAGCUGGGCGGUGGCACCGCUUGGGCUCAGUCUCCGAGCGAGACUGGGCGGUGCAACCGCCCUUGUCAGGCGGUUGUACUGCCCAAGUCAGGAGGUAGUACUGCCAGGACCUCGGAAAUAUGGGAAAUGACAUUUUUGAGCUCCAAAUUCAAACUAGUUUGGAGCCUAUAAUUACCCCUCCCAUCAUUGGGUAAAACACACAAGCACAGAGAGAUUAAAAGAGAGAAAGCACUGUUGCAAUCUCUAGAAUUUCCCUCAUCUAGCUUAAGUGUUAGAAUUCUGUUUAAGAGAGGAGAGUGAGUGCUUGUAAGGGUCGUCUCUUAAACCCGGUAAAAGGAGAAGAGGGGUGUAAGAAGGAGGUUGAUCUUCGCCUAGUAAAGGAAGAUCGUUAGUGGAUGUCGGUGGCCUCGACGGAAGAGGAAUCGGAAGAGUGAAUAUAGGUCACGAUUGACCGAACUACUAUAAACUCUCGUCUUUUCUGGUUUGCAUUUAUUCUUGCUGCUUACCUUACUGCAAACCUCCAUAUGUGCUUUACUUCCUCGUUACUUUUGCUGCACUCAUUCUUUCAAGUUAAGUUUCCGAAAACGGUUUUACGUCGUAAACGAUUUUAUCGUACGAACGUAGUUUUAAAUCCUCGAAAGUUUUCUGCUGCACUAAUUCACCCCUCUAUUAGUACUCUUGAUCUUAACAAUUUUCAGUGACCUCAAUCACUAAAGAUUUUUUAUUUAAUAGCCAACUUGGAUAUAAACCUCAAUCACCACCCGCUCACCAAAAAAAUAAGAAUUUAGUACACUAAACCAAGCAAAUGUCUUGGAUGGAGUUUCACAUUAGCAAAUACAAAAGAGAUCAACUAUUCUAUGCUAAUAGUUGGCAUGCCUGUAUCAUUCUUUUUUUUUGUUUUUUGCCUCAAGUACAAUUUGCUAGUUUAUUGAAAUUUAUCCGCUGUUGCUUUACCUAGCAAAGUAGUCCGUGAGAUGAAGAGGCUAAUACCAUCGGUUUCUCCACUUUGGACACUGUACUAGCGGGACUGGUUUGUUCAACUCAAUGCAUAAUAUUGUUUUAUCCUUCUUGUUAUUGCUUUAGAACUGAUAUGUAUACUUCUUUGUCAUAAGAUUUAAUUUUUGCGGAUAAAUGUAUACUUCUUUGACAUGUUAAUCUGCGCAUGUGCAUUUUUCUUAGUGUAGCUAUAGGCAAGGGAUAAAGGAAUGAUUGGGGAAACAAGGUCAAAGUAGGAGAAAAUUCUUUGUUUCUCGUAAAGUGCCUCG
Musa acuminata AAA Group (dessert banana) is the source of this 2526-nucleotide long non-coding RNA. RefSeq lists it as uncharacterized. The record is from RefSeq and is a predicted model, not a curated record. The transcript is spliced from 4 exons. Lineage: Eukaryota; Viridiplantae; Streptophyta; Magnoliopsida; Zingiberales; Musaceae.